GAUGAACGCUGGCGGCGUGCCUAAUACAUGCAGGACGAGCGAACGGACGAGAAGCUUGCUUCUCUGAUGUUAGCGGCGGACGGGUGAGUAACACGUGGAUAACCUACCUAUAAGACUGGGAUAACUUCGGGAAACCGGAGCUAAUACCGGAUAAUAUUUUGAACCGCAUGGUUCAAAAGUGAAAGACGGUCUUGCUGUCACUUAUAGAUGGAUCCGCGCUGCAUUAGCUAGUUGGUAAGGUAACGGCUUACCAAGGCAACGAUGCAUAGCCGACCUGAGAGGGUGAUCGGCCACACUGGAACUGAGACGCGGUCCAGACUCCUACGGGAGGCAGCAGUAGGGAAUCUUCCGCAAUGGGCGAAAGCCUGACGGAGCAACGCCGCGUGAGUGAUGAAGGUCUUCGGAUCGUAAAACUCUGUUAUUAGGGAAGAACAUAUGUGUAAGUAACUGUGCACAGCUUGACGGUACCUAAUCAGAAAGCCACGGCUAACUACGUG
This 497-nucleotide ribosomal RNA is filed under the name uncultured bacterium. Its description in RNAcentral is "partial 16S ribosomal RNA". It matches the Rfam family "Bacterial small subunit ribosomal RNA", at positions 28 to 507 of the family's 1533-position model. The record is from RNAcentral.